Molecule: long non-coding RNA, 751 nt
Organism: Microtus oregoni (creeping vole)
Lineage: Eukaryota; Metazoa; Chordata; Mammalia; Rodentia; Cricetidae
Exons: 2
Source: RefSeq, a predicted model, not a curated record
AUUCAAGAGAGACGCCGUCCGGCAGUGGCGCGGACAGCAUGUCGGGGUCCUGAGUCGGACUCGGCGCUCUGGCUGGGCGCAGUUUGCUCUUCCAAGCGGUAGGCGCUUGGCCUUGAGUUGCUUCUUCACCACACGUCUAAACACCUGGGCCACCCAGACUGUGGCCAGAGGAGCCGGUCAGACAGGCAACAGUAACUCAAGCUGUAUUUACCCAAGAAGAAACUCUGGGAGAUAAAAUACAGUGAAGUCCCUUGAAAAUAAGAGGAAAAAAACAAAACCGACCAACCAAUCAAAACAUUCAUAGCAAAUUUGAAAAUUCAACUUCAAGGUGACUGACUACGGGAACCCUAAGACAAUGCCAGCUCCAAUCUAAGAGAUCUCUGAACCAUAAAUGUGAGGAAAAGACACAUUGAUGCAUAAAAAUGGACAAAAAAAUGGAGCCAAGACAUGCCAGACUUCCAUGGAACCAAGAGGGACCUGACCAAGGACCUGCAAGGUAGACAACAAAGCCUAGAGGAAGUGCCAUUUCUGAGGAUGUACAUGGGACAUCAAAACAGUGGAAGAAAUAGGUGAAGACAUGAAAGCAACUUUCACUUGAAUGAGUUCAGAAUUAGCAUAUUCUUUCCUCGUGACUUCUUAAAGACCUCUCCACACAGGAGAAAAUAACUAUGCUGUAGAGUAAGCCCAACCCAAGUAUUAUUUCUUGGUUUUGAAAUUUAAAAUACAAAAUAAAUAAAAAUGUAAAUUACCA